RNAcentral lists this long non-coding RNA (3061 nucleotides) under Sus scrofa (pig). RNAcentral's name for it is "lncRNA (ENSSSCG00065033185.1)". Lineage: Eukaryota; Metazoa; Chordata; Mammalia; Artiodactyla; Suidae. The record is from RNAcentral.
AGAUUACAAAAUCAAUACACAGAAAUCAAUGGCAUUUCUAAGUACUAAUAAUGAAGGGUCAGAAAGUGAUAUUAGGGAAACCAUACCAUUUACCAUCAUAUCAAAAGGAAUAAAAUACCUAGGAAUAAACCUACCUAAAGAGACAAAAGACCUGACAACUGUAAGACACUGAUGAAAGAAAUCAAAGAUGACACAAAUAGAUGGAAAGGUAUACCAUGCUCUUGGAUUAGAAGAAUCAAUAUAGACAAAAUUACAAUACUAUCUAAGGCAAUCUAUAUAUUCAGUGCAAUCCCUAUCAAAUUGCCUAUGACAUUCUUUAUAGAACUAGAAAAAAUAUUUUAAAAUUUGUAUAGAAACCCCAAAGACCCUGAAUAGCCAAUGCAAUGUUGAAGAGAAAAAACGGAAGUGGAUUAAUCAGGGUAACUGACUUCAGACAAGUUACAAGGCUCUACAUCAUCAAAACAGUAUGGUACUGGCACAAAAAUAAAAACAUUGAUAAAUAGAACAGGAUAGAAAGCCCAAAAAUAAACCCAAGCACUUACGGUUCAAUAAUCUAUGACAAAGGAGAAAAGAACAUACAGUGAUGGAAACAACCACAUGUAACAUAUUCUAACACCAUACACAAACAUGAACUCAAAAUGGAUUGAAGACCUAAAUAUAAGGCCAAAAUCUUAGAGGAAAAUGUAGGCAGAAUGCUCUUUGACAUAAAUCAUAGCAACAUCUUGUUUGACCUACCUCCUUGAGUAAUGACUGUAAAGGCAAAAAUAAGCCAGUGGGACCUAAUUAAACUCAAAACCUUCUGCACAGUGAAGGAAACCAUUAAAAAAACAAAAAGACAACCCACAGAAUGGGAGAAAUUCUUUGCAAAUUAUUCAAACCAAUGGAGGUUUUAUUUCCAAAAUAUACCAACAACUCCUACAACUCAACAAGAAAAACACAAACAACCCAGCUGAAAAAUGGGCAGAAGAUGAAAUAGACAUUUCUCCAAAGAAGACAUAUAGAUGGCCACCAGAAACAGGAAAAAAAUGCUCAAUAUUACUAAUUAUUAGAGAAAUGCAAAUCAAAACUACAAUGAAGUACCACCUCACAUUAGUUACAGUGGUCAUUAUUAAGAAGUCAACAAACAACAAAUGCUGGAGAGGAUGUAGAGAAAAGGAUAACCCCCUUUUCUGUUUGUGGGAAUGUAAAUUGGUACAACCAUUGUGGAUAAAAGCAUGGAGGUACCUCAUUAACUAAAUAGAGAACUACCAUAGGAUCCAGCAAUCUCACUUCUGGGCAUAUAUCCAGAAAAAAACUUUCAUUGAAAAAAUACAUGCAUUUGUACGUUCAUCGUUGCCCUAUUCACAGUACUGGAGAAAUGGAAACAACCUAAAUGUCCAUCGGCAGAUGAAUGGAUUAAAAAUAUAUGGUACAUAGCAAAAGAAACCAUAAAAAAACAAAAGACAACUUACAGUAUGGGAGAAAAUAGUUUCAAAUGAUGCAACUGACAAAGGCUUAAUCUAUAAAAUAUGCAAAUAACUUAUAAAACUCAACAGCAAAAAAGCCAACAACCCAGUUGAAAAAUGGGCAAAAGACCCGAAUAGACAUUUCUCCAAAGAAGAUAUGCAGAUGGCAAACAAGCACGUGAAAAAAGGCUCAACAUCCCUGAUUAUUAGAGAAAUGCAAAUCAAAACUACCAUGAUGUAUCACCUCACACCAGUCAGAAUGGCCAUCAUUAAUAAGUCCACAAAUAACAAAGGCUGUAGAUGGUGUGGAGAAAAGGGAACCCUCCUGCACUGUUAGCAGGAAUGUAAAUUGAUACAGCCACUAUGGAAAACAGUAUGGAGGUACGUUAGAAAACUAUACAUAUAACUACCAUAUGACCCAGCAAUCCCACUCUUGGAUAUAUAUUCAGACAGAAUUUCCUUAAAAAAGACACAUGUACCCUCAUGUUCAUUGCAGCACUAUUCACAGUAGCCAAGACAUGGAAACAAGCUAAAUGUCCAUCGACAGAUGAUUGGAUUAAACUGUGUUAUACUGAGUCAGAAGAUAAGUAAUAUGAGAUGGAAUUAAAAUGGCAGAAUAGAAGGACUUGAGCUCAACUUUUGUCAUAAAAACAACAAAAUUACAACCAAAUGCUGAGCAACCUUCAACCAAAUGGACUGGAAACUUUCAAAAAGAUAUCCUACUCCAGAAGACAAAGUGGAGGCCACCUCAAGAGGUACAAGGGAUGAUUUCAUGAUAUAAGCAACCCCAUACCUCCCGGGUGGGAAGCUCCACAGACUGGAAAGUAACUGUAACACAGAGACUCACCUAUAGGAGUGAGAUUUCUGAGCCCCACGUCAAGUCCCCAUGCCUGGGGAUCCAGCACUGGGAGAAAGAGCCCCUGGAGCAUCUGGCAUUGAAGGUCAGUGGGGCUUGUGCGCAGGAGCUCCACAGGACUGGGGGAAAUGGAGACCCCAUUCUUGAAAGAUGCACACAGACUUUCACAUGCAUUGGUUCCCAGGGCAAAGCAAAGGCCCCAUAGGAAUCUGGGUUGGACCUGACUGCACUUUGUGGAGCAUCUCCUGGGAAAACAGCGGUUGACUGUGGCUUUUGUGGGGGUAGGGCAUUGGAGGCAAAGCUCUUGGGAAUAUUUAUCAGUGUGCGUUUCUCUGGAGGUGGUCAUCUUGUGACAAUCUGGCCCCAACCAUCAGCGCUGAGAAACCCCAAGCCAAACAACAAUCCAGGUGGAAUCACAGCCCCACCCAUCAAUAAACAGAUGCCUAAAAACUCCCCCAGGAACAUGGCUGCAUCUAAUCUCACCCAGAAACAAAGCCCCACCCACCAGCUCCCCCUACCAAUGGGCAGGCACCAGUCCCUCCCAUCAGGAAGGUUACAGCAAGCCCUCAUACCAAAUUCAGCCAUAAGGAGGGCAGACACCAGAAGUAAGAGAGGCUACAACUCUAUUGUUUGCAAAAAGGUGACCACUCCAAAAACGCAUAAAAAUGAAAAGGCAGAGAACUUAUAACUCACAUAAGGGAGAAAGAAAAAAAAAAACCAGAAAAACAGCUAAAAAAGUUUGGAAUAUUUAUUCCUCUUC